GUUACUGCUGUUUCUGAUUCGCUUGGUGCAGGUCGGGAACGGUAUCGCGGACGUGAUCCGUGUAGAGAUAUCAGGUCCCGCCUUGCAUCAAGUGAAUCGGAAACCGCUGUGAAU
Molecule: non-coding RNA, 114 nt
Organism: Helianthus annuus (common sunflower)
Lineage: Eukaryota; Viridiplantae; Streptophyta; Magnoliopsida; Asterales; Asteraceae
Source: Rfam